Molecule: long non-coding RNA, 275 nt
Organism: Perca flavescens (yellow perch)
Lineage: Eukaryota; Metazoa; Chordata; Actinopteri; Perciformes; Percidae
Exons: 3
Source: RefSeq, a predicted model, not a curated record
CUGCAUUUGGGUCUGCACAUUCUCUGAAGUUGUGUCAGUAUGACCUGACCCCACUUGGACCCAGAACAGAGGCAUCUUUUUUCACUCAUUCCUCUGCUAAGUGGUUCUGUUCUUCAGAGCGUCCCGAAUAGUCUCCUCUGUCUACCAGCAAGAAUGCAAAGUGCAGCAAGCAGCAGAAGCCCCAGCUGCCCUCACUGCCCUCCACCAGCAAGGCUGCCUCUAUGAGCAACUGCCAGCCUGCGUCUGCCACCACCUUGCUGCAGAGUGACUCUCCU